RNAcentral lists this ribosomal RNA (481 nucleotides) under uncultured bacterium. RNAcentral describes it as "partial 16S ribosomal RNA". It matches the Rfam family "Bacterial small subunit ribosomal RNA", at positions 28 to 507 of the family's 1533-position model. The record is from RNAcentral.
GACGAACGUUGGCGGCGUGCUUAAUACAUGCAAGUCCACUGAAGCAGUGGUGGCAAUAUCGCUGUGGAGGUGGCGCACGGGUGAGUAACACGUAGGUAAUCUGCCUUCAGGUCUGGCAUAACUCCGGGAAACCGGGGCUAAUAGCAGAUGAUGCAGCGGCUCGACAUCGAGACAGUUGUUAAAGCUAUGGCGCCUGAAGAUGAGCCUGCGUCUGAUUAGCUAGUUGGCGGGGUAACGGCCCACCAAGGCAACGAUCAGUAGCUGGUCUGAGAGGAUGAUCAGCCACACUGGAACUGAGACACGGUCCAGACUCCUACGGGAGGCAGCAGUAAGGAAUAUUGCUCAAUGGGAGAAAUCCUGAAGCAGCAACGCCGCGUGAGGGACGAAGGGCUUUUGCUUGUAAACCUCUGUAGUGAGAGAAAAAAAUCCCAAUCUUUGGGACAUGAUGGUAUCUCAAAAGUAAGCCCCGGCUAACUACGUG